Long non-coding RNA from Homo sapiens (human), 441 nucleotides. RefSeq lists it as uncharacterized. The transcript is spliced from 3 exons. NCBI's taxonomy places the organism in Eukaryota, Metazoa, Chordata, Mammalia, Primates, Hominidae. The record is from RefSeq and is a predicted model, not a curated record.
GUUGGACUGUACCUUCCCUGAUCUUACCAUCAGCUCAGCUGAAGGUGACUCCCCAUUGUGUUAUCAAGAAAAACACUACAUUUCUCAGCCUUCCUUGCAGUGAGCUUGGAGCCAGGAGAACUGGGCUAUGAAGAGGGAGAUUUAAUUCCUAAAAACAUCCCAUUGGGAGCUCCAACUCUCUCUCCUUCUGCUAUGGGUUUAAGAGUUUAAAGAAGCAUAAAAAUGAUCUAUUCAUGCACAAUCAAUUAAGGUGCAAGACACUAUAAGGAACUGUAAAAGAUAUUCAUGAAACACUGAGGGGAGACCAGACAGUCUACCACAUCAAAAUGAAAUUCAACAACAGUGACGCUGGCCAGGAAAUUUGAAGGAAGGCAAGCACAAUUGUAAAACAGGAGAGCUAAAUGGCAUAGAUUAAUCAAUAAAAGUAUUGAUUAAUGAAAA